This 484-nucleotide ribosomal RNA is filed under the name uncultured bacterium. Its description in RNAcentral is "partial 16S ribosomal RNA". It matches the Rfam family "Bacterial small subunit ribosomal RNA", at positions 30 to 507 of the family's 1533-position model. The record is from RNAcentral.
AUUGAACGCUGGCGGCAGGCCUAACACAUGCAAGUCGAGCGGAUGAAGGGAGCUUGCUCCUGGAUUCAGCGGCGGACGGGUGAGUAAUGCCUAGGAAUCUGCCUGGUAGUGGGGGAUAACGUCCGGAAACGGGCGCUAAUACCGCAUACGUCCUGAGGGAGAAAGUGGGGGAUCUUCGGACCUCACGCUAUCAGAUGAGCCUAGGCCGGAUUAGCUAGUUGGUGGGGUAAAGGCCUACCAAGGCGACGAUCCGUAACUGGUCUGAGAGGAUGAUCAGUCACACUGGAACUGAGACACGGUCCAGACUCCUACGGGAGGCAGCAGUGGGGAAUAUUGGACAAUGGGCGAAAGCCUGAUCCAGCCAUGCCGCGUGUGUGAAGAAGGUCUUCGGAUUGCAAAGCACUUUAAGUUGGGAGGAAGGGCAGUAAGUUAAUACCUUGCUGUUUUGACGUUACCAACAGAAUAAGCACCGGCUAACUUCGUG